This 833-nucleotide ribosomal RNA is filed under the name Prevotella sp. cp02.11. RNAcentral's name for it is "bacterial SSU rRNA". It matches the Rfam family "Bacterial small subunit ribosomal RNA", at positions 32 to 853 of the family's 1533-position model. Lineage: Bacteria; Pseudomonadati; Bacteroidota; Bacteroidia; Bacteroidales; Prevotellaceae. The record is from RNAcentral.
AACGCUAGCUACAGGCUUAACACAUGCAAGUCGAGGGGCAGCAUGAAUAUUGGCUUGCCAAUAUUUGAUGGCGACCGGCGCACGGGUGAGUAACACGUAUCCAACCUUCCGGUUACUCGGGGAUAGGCUUUCGAAAGAAAGAUUAAUACCCGAUGUUGUGUAUCUUUCUCCUGAAAGAUACGCCAAAGGAUUCCGGUAACCGAUGGGGAUGCGUUCCAUUAGGCAGUUGGCGGGGUAACGGCCCACCAAACCUUCGAUGGAUAGGGGUUCUGAGAGGAAGGUCCCCCACAUUGGAACUGAGACACGGUCCAAACUCCAUACGGGAGGCAGCAGUGAGGAAUAUUGGUCAAUGGACGGAAGUCUGAACCAGCCAAGUAGCGUGAAGGAUGACUGCCCUCUGGGUUGUAAACUUCUUUUAUACGGGAAUAACAUGAGGUACGCGUACCUUAUUGCAUGUACCGUUAUGAAUAAGCAUCGGCUAACUCCGUGCCAGCAGCCGCGGUAAUACGGAGGAUGCGAGCGUUAUCCGGAUUUAUUGGGUUUAAAGGGAGCGUAGGUGGGAUAUUAAGUCAGUUGUGAAAGUUUGGGGCUCAACCUUAAAAUUGCAGUUGAUACUGGUUUCCUUGAGUACGGUACAGGUGGGCGGAAUUCGUGGUGUAGCGGUGAAAUGCUUAGAUAUCACGAAGAACUCCGAUCGCGAAGGCAGCUCACCGGGCCGGAACUGACACUGAUGCUCGAAAGUGCGGGUAUCAAACAGGAUUAGAUACCCUGGUAGUCCGCACAGUAAACGAUGAAUACUCGGCUGUUUGCGAUACACUGUAAGCGGCCAAGCG